GAUGAACGCUGGCGGCGUGCCUAAUACAUGCAAGUCGAGCGAACAGACGAGGAGCUUGCUCCUCUGACGUUAGCGGCGGACGGGUGAGUAACACGUGGAUAACCUACCUAUUAGACUGGGAUAACUUCGGGAAACCGGAGCUAAUACCGGAUAAUAUAUUGAACCGCAUGGUUCAAUAGUGAAAGACGGUUUUGCUGUCACUUAUAGAUGGAUCCGCGCCGCAUUAGCUAGUUGGUAAGGUAACGGCUUACCAAGGCAACGAUGCGUAGCCGACCUGAGAGGGUGAUCGGCCACACUGGAACUGAGACACGGUCCAGACGACUACGGGAGGGAGCAGUAGGGAAUCUUCCGCAAUGGGCGAAAGCCUGACGGAGCAACGCCGCGUGAGUGAUGAAGGUCUUCGGAUCGUAAAACUCUGUUAUUAGGGAAGAACAAAUGUGUAAGUAACUAUGCACGUCUUGACGGUACCUAAUCAGAAAGCCACGGCUAACUACGUG
This 497-nucleotide ribosomal RNA is filed under the name uncultured bacterium. RNAcentral describes it as "partial 16S ribosomal RNA". It matches the Rfam family "Bacterial small subunit ribosomal RNA", at positions 28 to 507 of the family's 1533-position model. The record is from RNAcentral.